GGUCCCUGGUGGGUCGUCCCACCUACCAGCUGUGUCGCCGGAAGGGUAAUACGGAGCACUGUGGCCCCGGGGAGCCCCGAGUGGCAGCUCCACAGCUGGGAGUUUCUGUCCACUCCUUCAGUCAACAAACAUUGAUCCUGGGCUGACCGGGGCCCGGGGGUGUCAGUGUCUCCUCUCGGGGGAGAGGGCUGGGUGAGAUCAACAGAGGAGCCUCCCUUCUUCCCUUCAGGCUGGUGUCACCUUCAGUGAUGGGGCAGGGUCCCCACUUGGGAAGUUAAAUCGUCGUCCCCGUCCCAGGACCACAGCAGCCUCAGCCCUGCUCUCCAGGCCAGGCUCUCUCAUGGGUGCUCAGCUGGAAAUUGGUCCCCCCCCGGCUCCACCCACCCCUGUUGGGGUGAGGAGCUGGAGUCUCCCUACCCAUAUGGGACCCACCACCCGCAGGGAACGGAGGACGCUCACACUUCUGCACCUCCUGCCUCACUAUCAGAGACCCAGUGGAGAAUUGCCUCCCACCUCACCUCUUGUAUUCAGAGGCCCUGACCCCUAGGGAUCCGGGACUAGGGGUGCCCUAUGGGGAGCCCACCUGUGGCCUGUGGAUGCUGAGCUGUCGGGGGAAUCCUCCAGGAUCCCCAGCCCCACCUUCCCAACCUUCUGUUGAGGCUGAGGGGACACAGAGCCCCACUCCUGGGUCCUGACUGUUUCAAAGAAAGGCCUGGGGGACUGGGCAGCCAACCCCUCCCUCGGCUCGCUGGGGUCUCCAGACUGGCUGCCCGGCUGGAAGGUGG
This 785-nucleotide long non-coding RNA is filed under the name Homo sapiens (human). RNAcentral describes it as "HSALNT0246303". The record is from RNAcentral. Lineage: Eukaryota; Metazoa; Chordata; Mammalia; Primates; Hominidae.